ACCUGGCUGGCUCAGUCAGUAGAGCAUGUGAUUCUUGAUCUCAGGGUUGUGAGUUUAAGCCCCAUGUUGGGGG
This 73-nucleotide transfer RNA is filed under the name Felis catus (domestic cat). It matches the Rfam family "tRNA". Rfam says of the family: Transfer RNA (tRNA) molecules are approximately 80 nucleotides in length. Lineage: Eukaryota; Metazoa; Chordata; Mammalia; Carnivora; Felidae. The record is from Rfam by way of RNAcentral.